GAUGAACGCUGUCAACAGGCUUAACACAUGCAAGUCGAGGGGAAACGACGGGGAAGCUUGCUUCCCCGGGCGUCGACCGGCGCACGGGUGAGUAACGCGUAUCCAACCUGCCUCUGACUGAGGGAUAACCCGUCGAAAGUCGGCCUAAUACCUCAUGGCAUCGUCUGCGGGCAUCCAACGACGAUUAAAGAUUUCAUCGGUCAGUGAUGGGGAUGCGUCUGAUUAGCUUGUUGGCGGGGUAACGGCCCACCAAGGCUACGAUCAGUAGGGGUUCUGAGAGGAAGGUCCCCCACAUUGGAACUGAGACACGGUCCAAACUCCUACGGGAGGCAGCAGUGAGGAAUAGUGGUCAAUGGGCGGGAGCCUGAACCAGCCAAGUAGCGUGCAGGAUGACGGCCCUAUGGGUUGUAAACUGCUUUUAGGCGGGGAUAAAGUGAGGGACGUGUCCUUCAUUGCAGGUACCGCAUGAAUAAGGACCGGCUAAUUCCGUG
RNAcentral lists this ribosomal RNA (491 nucleotides) under uncultured bacterium. RNAcentral's name for it is "partial 16S ribosomal RNA". It matches the Rfam family "Bacterial small subunit ribosomal RNA", at positions 28 to 507 of the family's 1533-position model. The record is from RNAcentral.